Long non-coding RNA from Sinocyclocheilus rhinocerous, 595 nucleotides. RefSeq lists it as uncharacterized. The transcript has 2 exons. The record is from RefSeq and is a predicted model, not a curated record. NCBI's taxonomy places the organism in Eukaryota, Metazoa, Chordata, Actinopteri, Cypriniformes, Cyprinidae.
GACCCAGGGUUUGAGCUGCACUGCAGUCCAUUCUUGCCAUUUUCUCACAUUUCUGUUUACAAUAUUAAAUCAACAAAUACUGAACACAAGCACACGGACCUCACAUGAUCUCUGUCUGUCUGUGAUUCUCAGUAGCUCCAGGAAACACCAAAGCAGCCGAAGCAGCCAGCAGCGCCUUCUAUAAUCCCAGCAACCCUCACAGCGUCUACAUGCCCAUGGAUCAGCCGCCUCCGUACUUCCCUCCUGAGAAUCCAGACAAGAAGAACAUCUGAAGAACACGAACACGGACUCUUCUGGGGGAUCGGAGCGAUUCGCUCGUGUGCUGGAUGAUUCGUUCUGAUCGGUUCAUUUGAUUCGGUGUGUUUCUCUCUGUCAGAGCUGAAGCAGCCCAUUCAUAUAUACUGAUUUACUAUUUAGCCCGAAAAAAGUAACAAACACUUCUAUUUCUGCUUACUCCGUUUUUAAUCCUGGUGUGUGUGAUGCUGGACUUCUCUGUAAAUUCCUUUUGAUAAUAUAAUAACCAUAAAUCAUAGUAAAGUAGGUGAUAGUGGAUCAGUCCUGACAGAGUCGAUGAAUAAAGCUCUGUAUUCUCUCA